RNAcentral lists this long non-coding RNA (1152 nucleotides) under Homo sapiens (human). Its description in RNAcentral is "HSALNT0350536". Lineage: Eukaryota; Metazoa; Chordata; Mammalia; Primates; Hominidae. The record is from RNAcentral.
CAGCAGGAAGGGCCGGCGGGAAGGGGGGGUGGAAAGAGCCACUCCUGGUUAAUAACUCUGCGGGGUUAACCUAGGGCCGGCCAUACUCAAGUACGGACUUGAGUAAAAUUCAGCAGGAAAAGGAGCAGGGUGGGCGCCGCUAGAGGGAGGCUUCAGGACUGAGGGUCAGAGGCCCAAGGCCUGGCAGGGCCCUUCCCUGGUCAGCUCCAGGCUUGGCCUGAUGCCCGGUGGGCCACGGGCCUCUUCCAGCCUCAGGCUGACCCCAGAGAAAGAGGACAGCCCACAAGCCCGGGAGGCCGGCUUGCUGCCUGGUCAUUGCUGCAGAGCCUGGAGGGGGCCUGCGCUCAGUCCCCGCUGACCGUCCCCUCCCUUGACCCUGCCAUAGCCAUCUGUGUAACCCAGGGGAAAUUAUUCCAAAGGGACUUCCACUUCUGAUAAUCUAUGAUUCUAUUUUCUAAAAAACAAAACUCUAAAAUGCUUAAUGUCAAACAUCUGUCAUCAGCUGAACAGGAAAAGGAACAGUAAGUACAAAGCAAGGCAACAUCAGAAAAGGGAGCCCUGAGGAAUUUCUCCCUCCUUCCCUGAGCCGGGUGAGGCCGUGACUGCAGCCUGACUCACAGGUCCUUCCAAAGUGCCUACGGAAAGCUUUGUCCCAUCCUUGAAAAAUUGCUAAUGGGUUUGGAGAUACGAGGUGGAGAUGACUAGCAAUCAAACUCAAAGGUGGAAGUCACAUCGAGGCAGAUGAGCAGAUGAGGGGACCUAGAGAAGAAGAGAGGUGCAAGGAGAGCCCAGCCAGCAGGAACAUCUGCCCCAGUAGGCAGCACUGCCCCACAUCAGAGUCGAGGAAAGCAAAGCUCGGAUUGGAUAAAAGAAACUUGCAAACACGGUCAGUGCUUACUGCAUGUGGGCUCAGAGCACGUUACCCUCCUUCCCUGCAUGUUCCUGUGAAACGGGUUUACUGCUCUAACUCUCAGGGACACUGUGAAGACCAAACGAGAAAAUAGAAACAAACAUAAUUUAUAAACCAUAAAGUACUGACACCAAAAGAGGGGCGAGCACAGCAUUGUGAAUGUGCUGGUACUAAAUGGUUUGUUUUAAGAUGAUUUUAUGGUGUGUGAAUUUCACUUGAAUAAAUUUUUUUAAUGGAGUUCA